UGGGAGGUACAACUAGGCAAAUGUGCCACGGAGGAGGUCACAGGACACCAUGACCAUGACGGUGUCCCUGUGACCAUGAUCCCUCUGCCACCUUUUCCCACUCCUGGGCUCCUGAAUAUCUGGGAACUUGAAUGUGAAGAAUGUGAUAGAAAAUAAGUUGUUUUUUUUUUAAAUCAGAAUCAGACCUUCUUUCCUCCUGGCUAAGCCACACAUUUCCUAGAGCUUCUGCUACAUGCGUCUCCCACGUUCUGAUGUGCAGGAUUCACAGCAGCACAUCACCUCCACAGCAGGCCAGGGGCGGCACGUACAGUCAGGGGAAAUGAGAGGCCACAGAAGAGCCGGCGUUUCCUUCCUCAGAUUUAAAUCUCAACAGUUCCCUUCUUACAUCAUGGAGGGGCGGCGUGGGGCAUGGAGCGGGAAGCCUACCACUGCCUCCCUCUGCUGCUCUUUUCCACCGGGGUUGGCCGUGCUGCAGGCCUGGGCUGCAAGGGGCUGUUUCCUGUUGUGAAUUGCUGCACUCCAUCUUCUCUUUCAUCAUCUGCACACACAUAAAUGCCUGGAGUCAAUUGCUGUGUGGAGUGUUAUUCUCCUAAGGAAAAUUUCCAUCUGUGUUAAGUGCAGUUUCAAUGUUUACUCUUCUUGAAGCCCGCGUUGCUAUUAAAUUUUCAUAAGUCACAGAAUUUCAUGGUGGAAAUGCACAGAAUCUGCUAGGAAUGACGUGACAUGUUAGAAGCGUACGGGGGAGAAGCACAAUUAUGUGGUCCUUUCCUCUCUUCCCCUCUAGUCAUUUUCAAUAAGUGGAGCUGGACGUUAGACCUGGGAGCCAGAGCCCGGCAUGGCUGCUUCUGCCUGAAAGCCGUCCUGGGAGGUCAGAACUCCCUCUCACCCCUGGGCCAAGGGUGGAAACUGUGGGGCAGAGGCACCCAGACUUAGGAAUGCCACACGGGAAGCGUGGUGUCACUGUGAGAUAAAUGCUCAUGGAGCGCAGGAGGAAGAACAGAGGCAGCACAGAGCUGACUUGCCUCUCCGCCCCGUUGCACAAGAGGGCUCGCCCACGUUCUGGAACCCGCCGAGGUCUGGAAGCUAAGCACCGUGUGCUGCCUGUAUGCAUUGCUGAACACUGACAAAGAGAUCGGCUGUGUCACAAGCUUUACCUGGAUAGGUGGCUUUAUUUCAU
This 1177-nucleotide long non-coding RNA is filed under the name Marmota monax (woodchuck). Lineage: Eukaryota; Metazoa; Chordata; Mammalia; Rodentia; Sciuridae. The record is from RNAcentral.